UGGGGAAUUUUGGACAAUGGGGGCAACCCUGAUCCAGCCAUGCCGCGUGAGUGAAGAAGGCCUUCGGGUUGUAAACUGCUUUUGUACGGAACGAAAAGACUCCUUCUAAUAAAGGGGGUUCAUGACGGUACCGUAAGAAUAAGCACCGGCUAACUACGUGCCAGCAGCCGCGGUAAU
Molecule: ribosomal RNA, 177 nt
Filed under: uncultured bacterium
Lineage: Bacteria
Description: partial 16S ribosomal RNA
Rfam family: Bacterial small subunit ribosomal RNA
Source: RNAcentral